RNAcentral lists this ribosomal RNA (425 nucleotides) under uncultured bacterium. RNAcentral describes it as "partial 16S ribosomal RNA". It matches the Rfam family "Bacterial small subunit ribosomal RNA", at positions 354 to 796 of the family's 1533-position model. The record is from RNAcentral.
GUGGGGAAUCUUAGACAAUGGGCGCAAGCCUGAUCUAGCCAUGCCGCGUGAGCGAUGAAGGCCUUAGGGUUGUAAAGCUCUUUCGUGGGGGAAGAUAAUGACUGUACCCCAAGAAGAAGCCCCGGCUAACUCCGUGCCAGCAGCCGCGGUAAUACGGAGGGGGCUAGCGUUGUUCGGAAUUACUGGGCGUAAAGCGCACGUAGGCGGACUGGAAAGUCAGGGGUGAAAUCCCGGGGCUCAACCCCGGAACUGCCUUUGAGACUCCCAGUCUUGAGUUCGAGAGAGGUGAGUGGAAUUCCGAGUGUAGAGGUGAAAUUCGUAGAUAUUCGGAGGAACACCAGUGGCGAAGGCGGCUCACUGGCUCGAUACUGACGCUGAGGUGCGAAAGCGUGGGGAGCAAACAGGAUUAGAAACCCGAGUAGUCC